Eriocheir sinensis (Chinese mitten crab) is the source of this 945-nucleotide long non-coding RNA. RefSeq lists it as uncharacterized. Lineage: Eukaryota; Metazoa; Arthropoda; Malacostraca; Decapoda; Varunidae. The transcript is spliced from 2 exons. The record is from RefSeq and is a predicted model, not a curated record.
CUGGGCCCAGAUUCACUAACGCCUCGCAGAUACGACAAUCUUAAGUGGAUCCAAUAUGGCGGAAAUAAGAAUGUCGUAUCUUGCGAUUCCCAAAAGAAUCUUAAGUCCGCCAUGUUUAGAUUUUCCUGCCUUAACGCUGUUUCACACUCCCGCCGACAGACGGCGUAGUAUGAUGUUGACAUAUUUCGUUCAACCAAUGGCAGCGCUCGAUACAUACGUACUCUAGAGACAGUAGCCAAUCACAGGAAGCUCAACACCAGUGCAGCACGUGGCCCGUGACAGAGGCAGACGAUGUUGUCUGCCCCACCGGGAGUACGGAGAUGAAGUGAGGAAGUUCAGGAGACUGAGUGUAACCUGUAAGUGUAGUGGGUGCUACAACACCUAGCAGCCCAUAUGUCCCAGCAGUGGUGCAGCGUUGGACCCUUAAACUUCCAGGCAGGAGACACAAGAUGGACACAAGAUAAAAGAUUCUGAAGAAGCAAGACCAAGCAUAUAUUACUGGAUAGUUUGCAGAAAUGUGUAGAUUUCCUUGAAUCGUCUCAACCAGAAUGACCGCAAUAGCUGGACCUUUACAGGACUUUGUUGAAUAUUGCAGGGCAUGAAAUUCUGUAUUUCUUAUGCAUCACUAAAGGUCUCUUUUGAUUUCUUCAAACAUGUUUUGUAUUUGCAAUUUAUUUAAUUGUUUUCUGUUGGAAAUAACAUAUAAAAAGAUGUUUAAUAGCAAGCUGUGAAGAAUUGCUCCAAAUAGUACACACCACGGUGCUAUAUGCUUUACAUUUUAUUAAGAGUAUAAUAAGCUCAGCCAUAUUGUCCUGCAGUUAAUUUUUAGUCAGAUAAUUUCUCCCCUUUUUUUACAAUUUAAGUUGUGAUUGUGUUCAUGUAUACCAGCAGCUCUUUCUUUAAUUAUAUUAGUAAAGAAGUUGUUAUUAUAUAUAUGAAGUCAGA